Hemibagrus wyckioides is the source of this 115-nucleotide small nuclear RNA. RefSeq annotates it as U5 spliceosomal RNA. The transcript has a single exon. Lineage: Eukaryota; Metazoa; Chordata; Actinopteri; Siluriformes; Bagridae. The record is from RefSeq and is a predicted model, not a curated record.
CAGCUCUGGUUUCUCUUAAGUCAUGGCUAAAUCUUUCGCCUUUUACUAAAGAUUUCUGUGGAGAGGAAUAUUAAUAAGUUUCAUUUAUUUUUGUGAGUUUUGCUCUGGCAAAGCU